Long non-coding RNA from Macaca fascicularis (crab-eating macaque), 1877 nucleotides. The record is from Ensembl. Lineage: Eukaryota; Metazoa; Chordata; Mammalia; Primates; Cercopithecidae.
AGGCGCGUUCCGGGGCCCGUCGGAGGAAGGGAAGGCCUGGCUGUCCAGCGAAAUCCUCCUGAACGCACGGACCUCGCGGACCCGACCGGAGCAGCUCUUCAGGCCCUGGCCUGGACCCUUCUCCCAGAGGCACAUGCCCAGGACCCAGCAAUGGCCAAUGGGACCCUGAUGGCCGAGGGCCAGGAAUCAGUGACUUUCAAGGAUGUGGCCGUGGACUUCACCCUGGAGGAGUGGGGCUGGCUGGAGCCUGACCAGAGGGAGCUGUAUCGAGACGUGAUGCUAGAGAACUACCGGAACCUUCUCUCCCUGGGUGAGACCCCUCCUCCUGCCCUCCCCCUGGGGGAGGCCUGAUGCCCCCUGGAUCCCUCUCUGAUGCCCCCAGCACUCUCUCUGAUGCCCCCUGGCACCCCCUUCUCAUUCACGUCCAUCCCCUGCCAUCUGGGGGCCUCUGUGCUCCUCUCGCUGGUCCCUCGUGCCUGGCCUCUCUGUUCCUCUCUUUCUGCCAGCUGAUCCUGGAGUCCCAGCAGCUAGGAAGGCCCAAGUCUCUUGGCCUGUCCUGUAAAAUGUGGAUCCCACACACUCUUCAGCCUGUGCCCCCAGCUUCUUUUUUUUUUUUUUGAGACGGAGUCUCACUCUGUCACCUAGGCAGAAGGGCAGUAGCGUGAUCUCAGCUCACUGCAACCUCCUCCUCCUGAGUUCAAGCAAUUCUCCUGUCUCAGCCUCCCGAGUCGUGGGAUUACAGGCACGCACCACCAUGCCGGCUAAUUUUUGCAUUUUUAGUAGAGACAGGGAGGCUGAGGCAGGAGGCUUACUUGAGGUCAGGAGUUCGAGACCAGCCUGGCCAACAUGGCGAAACCCUAGCUCUACUAAAAAUACAAAAAUUAGUGAGGCGUGGUGACGCACGCCUGUAAUCCCAGCUACUGGGGAAGCUGAGGCACAAGAAUCACUUGAACCCAGGAGGCAGAGGCUGCAGUGAGCUGAAAUCGCAGCAUACACUCUAGCCUGGGUGACAGAGUAAGACUCUGUCUCAAAAAAAGGAUGCCAGUCUCUGGAUUUAGGACUUGCCCUAAUCCAGUAGGACUUCAUCUUAGCUAAUUACAUCAGGAAAGACCCCAUUUCCAAAUAAGGGCACGUUCUGCUGUUCUGGAUGGGCGUAAUUUUUGUGGAACAUCAUUCAACCCAGGAUAGGAGAGGAUAAAUUAGCAAUUCCAUAGACAGCAGGGCUGAUAGGAGGAGCCAAGGCCUUGCCUGUUGAGUGGGUGAGGUGGGGUGAGCUCGGGCGCCAGCAGAAGGGCAGGCCCGGGCCUGGAGCAGGGACGGUUUCCAAGAAACCCAGAGCAGAGGCGGGAUGUAGGAUAGAGAUGUCGGUUCCUUGCCCGGAUGCAUGGUGGGGAAGGUGGAGCUUCUUACACCAAUGGCUUCUUUGAGUGACAAGGGAGAGCCACAGCUGAAAAGAGAGGGUGACGUGUAGCACAGAGCAGGAAGAAAUGACAAAACGAUCAUUUUGGAGAGUGGGGAGAAAACAUACAGUUGUCUGUUGCAAAUUCUGGAUCCAAGCUCCAAGUAAGCCCCUGGUGGAGGCCGGGGGCGGUGGCUCACACCUGUAAUCCCAGCACUUUGGGAGGCCAAAGAGGGCAGAUCACUUGAGGUCAGGAGUUUGAGACCAGCCUGGCCAACAUGGUGAAACCCCGUCUCUAUUAAAAUACGAAAAAUUAGCCGGGUGUGUUGGUGCACACCUGUAGUCCCAGCUGCUCAGGAGGCUUAGGCAGGGGAAUCGCUUGAAUCCGGGAGGCGGAGGUUGCAGUGAGCCGAAAUCACGCCACUGCACUCCAGCCUGAGUGACAGAGACUCCAGACUCAAAAAAAAAAAAAAAAAAA